GUGGGGAAUCUUGCGCAAUGGGCGAAAGCCUGACGCAGCCAUGCCGCGUGAAUGAUGAAGGUCUUAGGAUUGUAAAAUUCUUUCACCGGGGACGAUAAUGACGGUACCCGGAGAAGAAGCUCCGGCUAACUUCGUGCCAGCAGCCGCGGUAAUACGAAGGGGGCUAGCGUUGCUCGGAAUUACUGGGCGUAAAGGGCGCGUAGGCGGACAGCUUAGUCAGAGGUGAAAGCCCAGGGCUCAACCUUGGAAUUGCCUUUGAUACUGGCUGUCUUGAGUUUGGGAGAGGUGAGUGGAACGCCGAGUGUAGAGGUGAAAUUCGUAGAUAUUCGGAAGAACACCAGUGGCGAAGGCGACUCACUGGCCCAAUACUGACGCUGAGGCGCGAAAGCGUGGGGAGCAAACAGGAUUAGAAACCCGAGUAGUCC
This 425-nucleotide ribosomal RNA is filed under the name uncultured bacterium. RNAcentral describes it as "partial 16S ribosomal RNA". It matches the Rfam family "Bacterial small subunit ribosomal RNA", at positions 354 to 796 of the family's 1533-position model. The record is from RNAcentral.